RNAcentral lists this ribosomal RNA (253 nucleotides) under uncultured bacterium. Its description in RNAcentral is "partial 16S ribosomal RNA". It matches the Rfam family "Bacterial small subunit ribosomal RNA", at positions 524 to 776 of the family's 1533-position model. The record is from RNAcentral.
UACGAGGGGGGCGAGCGUUGUUCGGAAUUAUUGGGCGUAAAGGGUGCGUAGGCGGCCUGACAAGUCUGAUGUGAAAUCCCUGGGCUCAACCCAGGGCCUGCAUCGGAAACUGUCGGGCUUGAGUAUGGGAGAGGUGAGUGGAAUUCCUGGUGUAGCGGUGAAAUGCGCAGAUAUCAGGAGGAACACCGGUGGCGAAGGCGGGUCUCUGGGCCGAUACUGACGCUGAGGAGCGAAAGCGUGGGGAGCAAACAGG